This 468-nucleotide ribosomal RNA is filed under the name uncultured bacterium. RNAcentral describes it as "partial 16S ribosomal RNA". It matches the Rfam family "Bacterial small subunit ribosomal RNA", at positions 28 to 507 of the family's 1533-position model. The record is from RNAcentral.
GACGAACGCUGGCGGCGUGCUUAACACAUGCAAGUCGAACGGAAAGGCACUGCUUUUGUGGGGUGCUCGAGUGGCGAACGGGUGAGUAACACGUGAGUAACCUGCCCUUGACUUUGGGAUAACUUCAGGAAACUGGGGCUAAUACCGGAUAGGAGCUCCUGCUGCAUGGUGGGGGUUGGAAAGUUUCGGCGGGUGUGGAUGGACGCGCGGCUUAUCAGCUUGUUGGUGGGGUAGUGGCUUACCAAGGCUUUGACGGGUAGCCGGCCUGAGAGGGUGACCGGCCACAUUGGGACUGAGAUACGGCCCAGACGCCAACGGGAGGCAGCAGUGGGGAAUAUUGCACAAUGGGCGGAAGCCUGAGACAGCAACGCCGCGUGCGGGAUGACGGCCUUCGGGUUGUAAACCGCUUUCGCCUGUGACGAAGCGUGAGUGACGGUAAUGGGUAAAGAAGCACCGGCUAACUACGUG